AACCUCCGCAAUGUGAGAAAUCGCGACGGGGGGAUCCCAAGUGCCAUUCUUAACGGGAUGGCUUUUCAUUAGUGCUUUUGGAAUAAGGGCUGGCAAGACCGGUGCCAGCCGCCGCGGUAACACCGGCAGCUCUAGUGGUAGCCAUUUUUAUUGGACCUAAAGCGUUCGUAGCCGGUUUGAUAAGUCUCUGGUGAAAUCCUAUAGCUUAACUGUGGGACUGCUGGAGAUACUAUUAGACUUGAGGUCGGGAGAGGUUAGGGGUACUCCCAGGGUAGGGGUGAAAUCCUGUAAUCCUGGGGGGACCACCUGGGGCGAAGGCGGCUAACUGGAACGACCUGACGGUGAGGGACGAAAGCCGGGGGCGCGAACCGGAUUAGAUACCCGGGUAGUCCUAGCUGUAAACGAUGCGGACUUGGUGUUGGACAGUGCCGAAGGGAAGCUGUUAAGUCCACCGCCUGGGAAGUACGGUCGCAAGACUGAAACUUAAAGGAAUUGGCGGGGAGC
RNAcentral lists this ribosomal RNA (504 nucleotides) under uncultured archaeon. RNAcentral describes it as "bacterial SSU rRNA". It matches the Rfam family "Archaeal small subunit ribosomal RNA", at positions 345 to 877 of the family's 1478-position model. The record is from RNAcentral.